GAAAACCUGCAAGCAAGCCUCGCACCACCACUGGGGUAGUGGGGGCCCUCCGACGAUCAAGUCAGAGGAGAUUGGAGGAGAAGGAGAGAUAAUUGUAGCCAGUAGGAGAAUGCACUGGAAGUUCUUGCUUACCUCCCCCCUUCUCCCCCCAGCAGCAUAUAUACCAGGCUGGGGGGUCCUUCUGGGGGGUUGGUCAUCGUGUGGCACGAUGGAGUUGCCACUGACAUGGCCGUUACAGGGCGUCGUGGGGCAGCGCUGGGUACGAACAUGACAGGGCGUAGUGGAGCUCCGCUUUGUACGGCUGUUACAGGAGAUCGUGGAGCAGCGCCGGAUACGACCGUUGCAGGGAGUAG
This 353-nucleotide long non-coding RNA is filed under the name Phoenix dactylifera (date palm). Its description in RNAcentral is "long non-coding RNA (PDAC_LNC003095)". The record is from RNAcentral. Lineage: Eukaryota; Viridiplantae; Streptophyta; Magnoliopsida; Arecales; Arecaceae.